GAUGAACGCUGGCGGCGUGCCUAAUACAUGCAAGUCGAGCGAACGGAUAAGAAGCUUGCUCCUUUGAUGUUAGCGGCGGACGGGUGAGUAACACGUGGGUAACCUACCUAUAAGACUGGGAUAACUUCGGGAAACCGGAGCUAAUACCGGAUAAUAUUUCGAACCGCAUGGUUCAAUAGUGAAAGAUGGUCUUGCUAUCACUUAUAGAUGGACCCGCGCCGCAUUAGCUAGUUGGUAAGGUAACGGCUUACCAAGGCGACGAUGCGUAGCCGACCUGAGAGGGUGAUCGGCCACACUGGAACUGAGACACGGUCCAGACUCCUACGGGAGGCAGCAGUAGGGAAUCUUCCGCAAUGGGCGAAAGCCUGACGGAGCAACGCCGCGUGAGUGAUGAAGGUCUUCGGAUCGUAAAACUCUGUUAUUAGGGAAGAACAUAUGUGUAAGUAACUGUGCACAUCUUGACGGUACCUAAUCAGAAAGCCACGGCUAACUACGUG
This 497-nucleotide ribosomal RNA is filed under the name uncultured bacterium. RNAcentral describes it as "partial 16S ribosomal RNA". It matches the Rfam family "Bacterial small subunit ribosomal RNA", at positions 28 to 507 of the family's 1533-position model. The record is from RNAcentral.